UGCUGUUUGUAAUUUAAAAAAUAGAGAUCAGUUUAGAAAUCAACCAAGAACACCCAAAACGCCCAAAAUCUGAUACCAAAUGAUACGGGGUUGCGUGCGGACCAAGAUCGAGUUGUCAAGUCACGAGAAACUCCUACGAAAACCCUAAACAAUUAGAUCUGAAACGAAACAGAAAAUUAAAAGAUUAGAUUUUUGAAUUUUCAGAUCUGAAAUAAAAUCCCCAAAUCAGCAAAGAAUCAAAUUGAGAAUAGAAAUAAGUGUUAGGGUUCUUGAAACCCUCAAGGAGAUUGUGAUUCUGCCCAAUUGAACACCAAGAUAGUUUUCCCCAAAUUUCGACAAUCUAAUUUCACCCAAAACGAGUAUGGAAAAACCCUAGAAAUUGGGGAUUUUUGGGCUGAUUCCUUAAGAUAGAAAAAGGCUGAAAACACAAUAAGAACAGAAAAUAGAUUAGAUAAUGAUUCAGCACAAGUAGAAAUAAAGAAAGAAUUGACAGUAAGAAAUUAAAAGAUAAGUCCUAAGAAGCCUUGAAAUCUCGAAAGAUCUCACAACUCCCUUCAAACGGCUCUAAUCUCCCCUCCAAAGAAUAUCAAUGGCAAGAAGAAGGUUGAAGAUGGCUCCCA
Molecule: long non-coding RNA, 620 nt
Filed under: Gossypium barbadense (sea-island cotton)
Lineage: Eukaryota; Viridiplantae; Streptophyta; Magnoliopsida; Malvales; Malvaceae
Description: long non-coding RNA (GBAR_LNC000615)
Source: RNAcentral